This 88-nucleotide transfer RNA is filed under the name Monsonia marlothii. Its description in RNAcentral is "tRNA-Leu". It matches the Rfam family "tRNA". From Rfam's summary of the family: Transfer RNA (tRNA) molecules are approximately 80 nucleotides in length. Their secondary structure includes four short double-helical elements and three loops (D, anti-codon, and T loops). Further hydrogen bonds mediate the characteristic L-shaped molecular structure. tRNAs have two regions of fundamental functional importance: the anti-codon, which is responsible for specific mRNA codon recognition, and the 3' end, to which the tRNAs corresponding amino acid is attached (by aminoacyl-tRNA synthetases). tRNAs cope with the degeneracy of the genetic code in two manners: having more than one tRNA (with a specific anti-codon) for a particular amino acid; and 'wobble' base-pairing, i.e. permitting non-standard base-pairing at the 3rd anti-codon position. Lineage: Eukaryota; Viridiplantae; Streptophyta; Magnoliopsida; Geraniales; Geraniaceae. The record is from RNAcentral.
GGGGGUAUGGCGAAAUUGGUAGACGCAACGGACUUAAAAAAUCCGUUGACCUUACAAAGUCGUGAGGGUUCAAGUCCCUCUAUCCCCA